UUGGUGUAAACUUCCUCAUAUGUUUUAACCACAUUUUGUGUUCUCACAGACAGGGAGCAUCUAUCUCAGCAUUCCAUUUCUCACCAAAACUGUAAAAUGGCAGAUAAAAACUAUGCAUUUUACAUACAUGGUGCCGAGGAGCAAAUGUGUUCUGGAUAUCUUUACAAAUCUCCCCCAGAGAAUCAGUUCAAGACCCAGAAAUCUUGGAAACGGAGGUUUUUUGUUCUUCUAAAGUACAAUAACAACACAUGCCAGCUUAAGUACUACAAAAAUGAUGAGAUGAACAAACCACUGGGAGACAUCGACUUGUAUAAGAUCACAUUCAUGUUCUUAAACCCUGAGAUGCAUAAAAUGUGGGACUGGAUUCAUAACAAUUUCAGAUGUUCUGCCUCAUGCGUAAUGUUUAUUAAACUACCAGAUAGAGAAUACUUCCUUAUCGGAGAAAACAGUUGGGAGAUGGAAAAAUGGUUCACUGCUUUAUAUGACAUCUUAAAUAAUCGUCCACACAGACUGUUGGAUCCCAAGACAUUUGGGUCAAAGAGACACAUCACAGAACUUCCACAACCAGAAAACGAUGAGCAGAAAGCUGAGUGGGGUCAUUCAAAAUGUGUUACACACGAACUGCCAUCACCCUUGAUCCACGAGCCCAUCUAUGUUUCUCCUACAACAUUCAAAAGUAAUCAGUAAUGACAGAUGAAUUGUCACAAUGAGUACAGAAAAAUACUCAGGCUUCACCCUAAACUCCAGCUUCUUUACCUGUUGUUACCUACCGAGUGCUAAUUGUCAUAGUCUGAAAACAAGACUGAUUUUAAGAUAUAUUUGUUGUUGUAUAAGUAAUAUGUUGAAUUAAUUUCCAAAUAAAUGUAAAGUUAAACAGGAUUCUUUUAUAUGCUAAAUGAUCUUUUCUUCCAAUGUUUAAUUGUUGCACUAACCCAAAGCAAAAUGACUGUUUUUACAAUAGCUUUGCAUUGGGCACCUCAAAUGAAAUUGAUAAUGAGAUGAACUGGACAAGUUGCAUUAAUUUACUAAAAAUAAAUAUAUUUAAAAUAAAUAUGAUUAAAGCGAAUGACCAAAAGUCAGUAAUUUUAGAACAAGGCAGCUUAUUUUCAAAAGGCCAGAACAAUACAUCAGAUAUAACUUUGCAGCUAUGUACUGUAUAUCCUAUGUAAAUAGGUAGGCUACUAAAUAUAUAUGAAAUAUUACAACAUGUUUCAAGACAAAUGUGUGUUCGCAUAAUCAUUCAACUUGAUGUGAAAAUAAAACAAAAUGUAAAUGAAUGAUCUGUUUUAACAUGUACACAUUUGUCUGAGUGUGCUUUCAAUGUCAAUAUUUUGCCUUUUAAUAAAAGAUUUUUUUUAUUGA
This is a long non-coding RNA of Ctenopharyngodon idella (grass carp), 1362 nucleotides long. RefSeq lists it as uncharacterized. The transcript has 9 exons. Lineage: Eukaryota; Metazoa; Chordata; Actinopteri; Cypriniformes; Xenocyprididae. The record is from RefSeq and is a predicted model, not a curated record.